UUGGAGGGCAAGUCUGGUGCCAGCAGCCGCGGUAAUUCCAGCUCCAAUAGCGUAUAUUAAAGUUGUUGCAGUUAAAAAGCUCGUAGUUGAAUUUCGGGAUUGACACGUCGGUCGUGCCUUAAGGGGUAUGAACUGGCGUAGUCAAUUUCUCACCUUCUGGAGAACCGCGAUGUCCUUAAUUGGGUGCCGCGAGGAACCAGGACCUUUACUUUGAAAAAAUUAGAGUGUUUAAAGCAGGCAUUUUGCUUGAAUACAUUAGCAUGGAAUAAUAAAAUAGGACGGCAUGAUUCUAUUUUGUUGGUUUCUAGGAUCACCGUAAUGAUUAAUAGGGAUAGUUGGGGGCAUUAGUAUUCAAUUGUCAGAGGUGAAAUUCUUGGAUUUAUUGAAGACUAACUACUGCGAAAGCAUUUGCCAAGGAUGUUUUCAUUAAUCAAGAACGAAAGUUAGGGGAUCGAAGACGAUCAGACACCGUCGUAGUCUUAACCAUAAACUAUGCCGACUAGGAAUCAGACGAUGUUAAUUUUUUAAUGACUCGUUUGGCACCUUACGGGAAACCAAAGUGUUUGGGUUC
This 571-nucleotide ribosomal RNA is filed under the name uncultured Glomeromycotina. Its description in RNAcentral is "SSU rRNA". It matches the Rfam family "Eukaryotic small subunit ribosomal RNA", at positions 548 to 1114 of the family's 1831-position model. The record is from RNAcentral. Lineage: Eukaryota; Fungi; Glomeromycota.